Molecule: ribosomal RNA, 497 nt
Filed under: uncultured bacterium
Lineage: Bacteria
Description: partial 16S ribosomal RNA
Rfam family: Bacterial small subunit ribosomal RNA
Source: RNAcentral
GAUGAACGCUGGCGGCGUGCCUAAUACAUGCAAGUCGAGCGAACGGACGAGAAGCUUGCUCCUCUGAUGUUAGCGGCGGACGGGUGAGUAACACGUGGAUAACCUACCUAUAAGACUGGGAUAACUUCGGGAAACCGGAGCUAAUACCGGAUAAUAUUUUGAACCGCAUGGUUCAAAAGUGAAAGACGGUCUUGCUGUCACUUAUAGAUGGAUCCGCGCUGCAUUAGCUAGUUGGUAAGGUAACGGCUUACCAAGGCAACGAUGCAUAGCCGACCUGAGAGGGUGAUCGGCCACACUGGAACUGAGACACGGUCCAGACUCCUACGGGAGGCAGCAGUAGGGAAUCUUCCGCAAUGGGCGAAAGCCUGACGGAGCAACGCCGCGUGAGUGAUGAAGGUCUUCGGAUCGUAAAGCUCUGUUAUUAGGGAAGAACAGAUGUGUGAGUAACUGUGCACAUCUUGACGGUACCUAAUCAGAAAGCCACGGCUAACUACGUG